GUCGCGCCGCGCGAGCGGCGAGGAAAGUCCGGACUCCGCAGGGCGGGAAACCCGGCUGAAAAGUCGGGGGCGCGGCGGCAAUCGCCGCGUACGGACAGCGCCACAGAAAACAGACCGCCUGCGGGAAACCGCAGGCAAGGGUGAAAAGGCGGUGCAAGAGACCACCGCGCCGGCGCGCGAGCGCAGGCGGCAAGGCAAGCCCUUUCCGGAGCAAGGUCGAAUAGGGAACCGGGGCGGCCCGUCCGGGCCGCGGAACCGCCGCAAAGGCGAUGCGCGGCCAAGGUUCCGGGUAGACCGCUCAGAGAAAUGACCGGAGCGGCGGCGGAAACGCCGCCGUGAACAGAAUCUGGCUUAUUCGCCGG
Molecule: RNase P RNA, 362 nt
Filed under: bovine gut metagenome
Description: Bacterial RNase P class A
Rfam family: Bacterial RNase P class A
About the family: Ribonuclease P (RNase P) is a ubiquitous endoribonuclease, found in archaea, bacteria and eukarya as well as chloroplasts and mitochondria. Its best characterised activity is the generation of mature 5'-ends of tRNAs by cleaving the 5'-leader elements of precursor-tRNAs.
Source: RNAcentral